CAUAAUAUUCAACAUAUAACAGAGCACAAAUUCAUACAUUAGACAUGGAAAUUAACAUGGAUGAUCACACGAUCAUCAUCAAAACUUAUAAAGCACAACAAUGGUAAAUAAAAUCUAGAGGAGGGGGAGGAUCUCUCUCUAACCUUCAUGCAAUACACCUAUAUUCAAGUAGUUUUCGCCCUUACCUACAUUUUCAUCAACAAGCUCCAAG
RNAcentral lists this long non-coding RNA (211 nucleotides) under Lathyrus oleraceus (garden pea). RNAcentral's name for it is "Pisum sativum (pea) long non-coding RNA (PSAT_LNC006024)". The record is from RNAcentral. Lineage: Eukaryota; Viridiplantae; Streptophyta; Magnoliopsida; Fabales; Fabaceae.